GGCCCAAAUUUGAAGUAGAAUAGAUUAGUAGUAUCAGCCGACCCUGCUAAUCUGCUGUAUUUCAAAUUUGGGCCC
This is a non-coding RNA of Haemonchus placei, 75 nucleotides long. NCBI's taxonomy places the organism in Eukaryota, Metazoa, Nematoda, Chromadorea, Rhabditida, Trichostrongylidae. The record is from Rfam.